AGCAGCCGCGGUAAUUCCAGCUCCAAUAGCGUAUAUUAAAGUUGUUGCAGUUAAAAAGCUCGUAGUUGAAUUUCGGGAUUAGUACGUCGGUCGUGCCUUCGGUACGUACUGGUGUUACUGAUUCCUACCUUCUGACGAACCAUCAUGUCAUUAAUUUGGUGUGGCGGGGAAUCAGGACUGUUACUUUGAAAAAUUAGAGUGUUUAAAGCAGGCUCGCGCUUGAAUACAUUAGCAUGGAAUAAUGAAAUAGGACGUUGACCCUAUUUUGUUGGUUUCUAGGAUUGACGUAAUGAUUAAUAGGGAUAGUUGGGGGCAUUAGUAUUCAAUUGUCAGAGGUGAAAUUCUUGGAUUUAUUGAAGACUAACUACUGCGAAAGCAUUUGCCAAGGAUGUUUUCAUUAAUCAAGAACGAAAGUUAGGGGAUCGAAGACGAUCAGAUACCGUCGUAGUC
This 450-nucleotide ribosomal RNA is filed under the name uncultured Glomus. Its description in RNAcentral is "SSU rRNA". It matches the Rfam family "Eukaryotic small subunit ribosomal RNA", at positions 569 to 1025 of the family's 1831-position model. The record is from RNAcentral. Lineage: Eukaryota; Fungi; Glomeromycota; Glomeromycetes; Glomerales; Glomeraceae.